CUCGCCCUUCCAUCCAUCCUCUCACCGUCUCACCCCCACCUGCUCCCUCUAAAUCUUCCUGUGAUGGCUGAACCGCCGUGGCAGCACGUGGCCUGAAACGCACAGCAUGAAACAGCACCCAGCCGCAACAGAGCACUUCCUCACAAAGAAGAAAAGAAAGCCACACGCCCAAGAACAGGAGAGAGGAGCAGCCAGAAGCAAGUAGAAGUGAUGUCUCCAGCCAUGAGGCCCGCGGGAACAAGCACGUGAGUCCCACGCACAUGGCCGAACCCCCGCUGCUCCACUUCCUCCUGGGGCCCCCUCCUCAGUGAAGCUGGGGCAGACGCGGGACUGGAAUCACAUCCCGGGAUCUCUGGAGCUCUGGUUUCACAGACACUGUGAGCACCGGGUGCCGAGUCACCCAGAGCCUUGGUCCAUGGCUCACGACAAAGGAAGCAGGGUGACACAAGGAUAGUGAUGCCCUGGGGACGGCGCAGAGGCCUGUCUACCACCCAUGCGUCCAAGAACGAAGGCUCCCCGCGCAAGGGGGUCCCCGGGGUGGGGUCGAAAGCCUGCAAUUACUGCUGAUGACAACCUUCGGGCCAGCUCCAUGGUGCGGUUUAUGGAGACUCUGAGCCGGACACACAGAGGUUCGCUGCGGGAUGAAAGGCCAGCUGGAAGGGCAUGAUGGGCAGGGGACGGGCACGGCCUGGGAAAAGGACACAAACGCACGAAUGUCAUCAGUCUGGGCUGGUGGCUGCUGGGUGCCAUCCUUCCAUCCCGCGCCCACUGCGUGGGGUCAAGACUUGUCCGCAUCCGGGGAAGGAGUGACCACAACACCCUGGGCUCCUGGAACCGCUUGUCCCCUCUAAGCUCCCACUCCAGCCUCAAUGGUCCAUCCUAACAUGGUUCCCCAUGGCCCCCAGCAGGAACCAUAAACUCACAUGCCCUUGGGGACCAGGCUGGGGACCAAGGAGUGAAGGAGGCUGGAGGGAGACAAUAGGGAGUGGUGGAGACUGUGAACAACGGGAGACCACAGGCCCCUGACACUGGGCAGCUGUCACUCAGCUCCAACUCGUGUUCGUCAUGCAGGACUGUGGGUCCAGGGCUGCCAGAGUUUUCCAUUGUUCGAGUAAGUCAGAAAGCUGGAUUGUUUUUAAUCCUGAUUUCUAAAUAUUGCAAUUCCAACAAAACAAUAGAAAUCUAGGUGCUGUACGAACCACACAAGGUUCUCUGUGGCUGGCUUUGCCCCUUGGCCUCAGAUGAAGUGGAGCCCUGGUGGCCUGGUCCCCGGCCCCCUCUCCAGGCCCCUCUUCCCUUUCUCCUCCUCUCCAGGAAUCUUGAAGUAGCAGCAACUCCCUGGACACAGCCAGGGAAGUUUCCAGCUUCCUCUAGCAUCCCUCACCCUCGGACCCUCGCCUCCUAGAAAAGCAUCCUGGGAUCCCCAGGGUGAGGGAGCUCAGUUCCCUCCGGCCCCCAGAGGGCCUCUACUAAAAGCAUGCAGCACAUAGGGGGCCUGGCCUAGUGGCAUAGUGGUGAAGUCCGGUGCAUUCCACUUUGGCGGCCUGGGUUUGGAUCCUGGGUGCAGACCUACACCACUCAUCAAGCCAUGCUGCGGUGGCCACCUACAUAGAAAGUAGAGGAAGAGUGACACAGAGGUUAGCUCAGGGACAAUCUUCCUCAAUCAAAAAAAGAAGAAGAUUGGCAACAGCUCUUAGCUCAGAGCAAAUCUUCCUCACCAAAAAAAAAAAAAAAGCAUGCAGCACAUGGGGAUUGAAUUAACUUUCCUCUAUUCUAAGCCACUGCUGAUCUGAUAACAGCACCUAGCAAGAUAUAUAUAUAUAUAUAUCCUGGUUCAAAUCCCAAUUAAUCCUCAAGGCCUACAGGUCCAAUAUGAUGUGGCUGCUGGAAACCUCUCUGAAUUUUACCUCCUCCCUCAUUUCACUCCACAAAAGCCUCACUGACCUUCUUUCAGCUCCUCAAUAUGUCAAGCUCCCUCCUGCCUCAGGACCUUUGCACGUACUGUCCCCUCUGCCUGGAAUGUUUUCCCAGCAGGCCUUGCCACAGCUUGAGCUGGUGAGGUGUGUCAGGGGGAGUUACACCCCUUUCAGCACACCCCAACCUUAUUCCUUUGUAAAGUGACGCCUUCAUCAGCUUCAAACCACCCAAUCAGGCCAACAUCACAGGCUGUUUUAAACCUCAGGGCCUUUGCCCAGGUGGUUCCCUGAGCCGAGGAUGCUUGUCUUUAGACCCUGUCUUUCACCUCCUUGGAGAAGCCUUCCUGUGAGAACUCUCCAGGGCAGGUCUCCCCAAGACCCAACCCCAGGUGCCCUCUAUCCCGCCGCCUUAUUUUCUUUCCUUCUGGAGCGCGUGGCUCCAACAGUCUCUUGUUGAUGUGCUCCUUUCUCCCCAUCCCCUGUGGACGUCCACACAGCCAGGGCUUCACCUGUCCCCUUGCCUGCCGCCUCCCGGGGCCCCCGGAGCACCUGGCCAGCAGUGGGUGACCAUAAACACAUGUUUUGCCAAGGCCAUUAAACAGCACACUAGUCAGAGGACAUUCAGAUUUCAGAAAUUAUUCACAGCCGAGAGAAAAUAUGUCUUCGAGGGAAGGCAGUGCUGCGUCUGAAAUACGUGCCUCCUCGGCAGCCCUGCGUCCCACGAGGGCGCCCCAGGCCUGGCCAGGAGCCACCUCAAUGGCCCCACGUGGUGCCCCGGUUUCCAGGCCAGUCCCUCGGCGGAGGCUGAGUGUGGGGCUGAGGCAGGGGCCCCACAGGCAGCUGCUGGGUCCGAGGGCCACUCCGUGGGCUCCGGGCAAACACUGCCUCGUUCAAUACCCGUCACAGACUCAGGAGGCAGGCGGCGUUGUCCUCAUUUAUCAGACGAGGAACCUGAGGCUCAGUGAGGCCAAGGGUCUCACACCCAAAGGCACACAGCAGGGAAGGCUCAAGACCGGGCUCCCCGUCUGCCCUCUGGGGAGGAAAGCACCAGCUGGCCCCCAGGAGCCCCCACGCCACAGCCCCAGCCGCGGGCCCAGGAGCAGCUCGGUGUGGCCCCGCCAGGACGGCCCCAGAGGGGGUCCCGUGGGAUAUGCUGAUUCACACGCACAGGGCACAGGCUGUGGAGCUGCAAGGCCUGGCACGUGGAUGGCGCUGCUCGCAGGGGCCAGUCUCUGGGGACACGACCUUUGUCCCUAGACCCAGGGGGGGCUGCCCUUCUGGCUGGGCUCCAGACACUUUCUGCAGAAACCAAGGAUUUCCAGACUUCAGUCAGAAGCUGGGAGAUACACAGCGCCUAGGGCUCCUGAAAGGCAGCCGGCCCGUCUCUGAGUUGACCCCAACCUCACCCCAUCUGUAAAGCAAUAGCAGCCCAUCAAGCCACCCAAUCGGGCUGACAUCAUGGGCUCUUUCAUACCCCAGGGCCUUUGCACAGGCUGCUCCUUCUGCCUGGAACAGCUUCUCUGCUUUGUCCCAAGAUUAACUCCUUUGCAGACAUUUCCCCCCCAAAUUUCCCUGACCCCUCCCCACCUCCUUCCCCUGGUAGAAUUAGCCCCUAUGUACCCAGUGUCAGUUCCAUCACAGCGCCUCUAAAACUGGAUCCCAUUCAGCAGUGCACACAUCUGCACCCCUUGGCCAUGUGCCUGACACGGGAAGGGGUCAAGGGUGUGUCUGUCACCAAGAAGAGGCUCCCAUGAUGGAGAGUCCACUGUGUGGCUGCCAGGGGAUGGCAGGCCAGGUCUCCACACUGCCCAGAGAGCCACGGGGAGCCUCCUCCUUCCUCUGGUCUCUCCCCGGGAACCUGACCCCAAGAACGGGUCCUCAGAGCCUCAAAGUGAAGCGCUGACAAGGGCAACGCCUCCCCCGGCCAGGGCUGAUCCUCCUUGAAGACGGUGCUUGACCCCUGGGGUCUCUGUCCGGCUUCAUCUCCUAGACACCGCAUUCCGCACCCCCAGGCUC
Molecule: long non-coding RNA, 3932 nt
Organism: Equus caballus (horse)
Lineage: Eukaryota; Metazoa; Chordata; Mammalia; Perissodactyla; Equidae
Source: Ensembl